Molecule: long non-coding RNA, 432 nt
Filed under: Malus domestica (apple)
Lineage: Eukaryota; Viridiplantae; Streptophyta; Magnoliopsida; Rosales; Rosaceae
Description: long non-coding RNA (MDOM_LNC018147)
Source: RNAcentral
UAGUUAACUAAGUCGCAUAAAUAUGCGUCUAUCAAAUUCCCCCACACUUAGCUUUUGCUAGUCCUCGAGCAAAACAAAGAAACAAAACAUAAGAACAAAAACAAAACCUAAACCUUCCAACAAUUACCUUAGGGAUUUUCAAUGCAACAUGACAUGCAAAAGAUCAUCAUAACCACAGAUUUUUGCCUUCCCUACCCUUGAGCACAUACUUAAUCAAAGUCACCACAUACUAGUUCACAUAUAACCAAUUAAAACGAUGUUUUGAAUGUAGUAACAUGCCUUAGAGAAUUUGCUCCAUUCCUUACAAGAUACACUCUUAUUUUCACUCUGAUUUUCUGACUAUUUACCCUACACUAGAUGUAUGUGAGAAGAUUGAUGUAAACAUGAAAACGAACACUCACAUAUGUUUAUAGCAAAGAAAGCAAUUUCUGG